RNAcentral lists this long non-coding RNA (601 nucleotides) under Homo sapiens (human). RNAcentral describes it as "HSALNT0384588". The record is from RNAcentral. Lineage: Eukaryota; Metazoa; Chordata; Mammalia; Primates; Hominidae.
AACUGAUCCAGAAAUGGCUCUGGCAGUACCCAAGGGUUCCUUGAAGGCAGGUCUGGGUCUGGUUCUCCGGAUCCCAACACCACGAGCUGUAAUCCCAUCGUCACUUCCUCUGGCAACACGGGGACUGCCUGCCAUGCCCUAACUCCUCCUUGUGCUUUUGGCCUUCGCCUAAGAGUUCCUUGGAGUUUCUUCACAGCAUCUGUAGCCAUCUGAAGUGUCAUCUUCUGUACUAUAUUGCCAGUGCCUACAAUUACGACUGGUAUACUCAACCAGGCGGCAGUGGUCUUGUACAAUCUCUCUCUGUAUUCUCAAGUCCCCAUCUGCGAGCAUGGCUACUGGAAAUAACUGCAGCUGUAUACUGACUUAAAGAUCCAAAAAUCCCAGGAAGGACCCCAGAGCUGUGAGCCAGAAGCCCAAGGCCCUCCCAGCCUGAAAGCCCCAGGCCAAGCCUGAACUAUAUGCAGGUGAGUGUUGCUUUGCAGUUACCAUCUCCAAUUAGUGUCCCCAGCCUCUUAAAGCUGAUCUAAUCCCACUCUCCUGAUUUCAGCCCCUCAGACAGUGCCUGCUGCACUCAAUACAAUCCAUGUUCCUGAUGACGUGG